GGACCACAAUGAUCAUCUGGUUUCAACCCCCCUGCUACGUGCAGGGUCGCCAACCAGCAGACCAGGCUGCCCAGAGCCACAUCCAGCCUGGCCUUGAAUGCCUCCAGGGAUGGGGCAUCCACAGCCUCCUUGGGCAACCUGUUCAGUGCGUCACCACCCUCUGGGUGAAAAACUUCCUCCUAAUAUCCAACCUAAACCUCCC
This 202-nucleotide long non-coding RNA is filed under the name Gallus gallus (chicken). Lineage: Eukaryota; Metazoa; Chordata; Aves; Galliformes; Phasianidae. The record is from RNAcentral.